UGACAGUUACAAACCAUGAUAUCAAUACAGUCCUGCACAUUUGUGUAAAGAAAAUAUAAGUUAUCCAAAAAGAGGUUAACUGAACAAAUAAGAACACCAAAACCAUUACCAAAGAGGAGACCGGUUUCGCCAGGCCUCAAAAGAGCAGAGCCAAGAUUCAAUAUCCAAAGCAUGGCUUGAGAAAUUCAACACGUGGAAAAAGAUGACAGGACUGAAAAAGCAAACGAAAAGAACAAAAAUAUAACAAAAGAGUGUCAAACAUAGGAAAAAUCAGAGGCUCAGCUUUGCCUAUUUUCAUACAUUGACGGUCUAACAGGCAGCACUUGGUUGCCUGCAAAAAAUAGCAAGCCAUCCAAAUUUGUGGCACCAGUUAGACUUAGGCAAAAUAGUAGUCAGCAUGCAAGAUGUGCAUGGCUACUUCAACAUAUGUGGAUUGACACACACAAACACACAUAUGUAUUUAUGUGUGUAUGUAUGUCCAUAUAUAUGUAUGUAUGUGUAUAUGUAUAUAUAAAUAGAGAGAGAGAGCCUUUGUAUCUAGGUGCUCUUGCAGAUGCAAGCAUACAAUUUCAGCACUUGAAGUAUCUUCAUGGAGAUACCAAGGCAAAUCAUCACAGCCUCUAACCGCAGAUAAGAAAAGGAAGCAGCAAAAAUGAAUGAAUAAAGCAGCAGAAGGAAAGAAAUGUGAUACUGAAAUAUUGGGAGAACCACUGGCUGAAAUAUUGGGGCAAUCCUUCUUAACAAAAAGGAUAUAGCAAAUUACAUACCAUAACAAGCCUUGCCAGAAUAAAGGAUGUUUGAAAAUAUUCAUAUCCUUAACAAAACAACAUGGUAUCGACUCUGGCAACACUGACAGUUACAAACCAUGAUAUCAAUACAGUCCAGAACAUUUGUGUAAAGAAAAUAUAAGGGUGUGUUUGGUUAUACUUUUUGACUUUUUAAAAGUACUUUUCAUUUUUUUUAUUUUUGCUAUUGAGUAAAAGCAACAAAGUAAAAAGUAUGUUUGGUAACUACGUUGCUAUAAAGCAAAAAGCAAUGGGAACGGCAGAUGAAGAGCUCGACGAGAGAGAAAGAUUCGAGAAGAGAAGGAGAAGGGGAUAGGGAGGUGAAAAGCUCGAUGAGGGAGAAGGAUUUGGGCUCUUAACUUUUUGGUUUGGCGUUUUAGAUAUGUGAAAGCAAAAAAAAGCAGAAAAGUAAGUUUUUGAAAGCAAAAAAUUUUUGCUUUGCAUAUAAAGCAAUUAUUUUGAUUUUUUUAUUUUUGCUUUUUACUUUUCAUGGUGUUACCAAACGUUGCUUUUUAAUUUUUACUUUUUAAAAAUCAAAAAGUAAAAAAAGUACUUUCUUAAUGGCUAACCAAACGCACCCUAAGUUAUCCAAAAAGAGGUUAACUGAACAAAUAAGAACACCAAAACCAUUACCAAAGAGGAGACUGGUUUCUCCAGGCCUCAAAAGAACAGAGCCAAGAUUCAAUAUCCAAAGCAUGGCUUGAGAAAUUCAACACAUGGAAAAAGAUG
RNAcentral lists this long non-coding RNA (1514 nucleotides) under Elaeis guineensis (African oil palm). Its description in RNAcentral is "long non-coding RNA (EGUI_LNC003386)". Lineage: Eukaryota; Viridiplantae; Streptophyta; Magnoliopsida; Arecales; Arecaceae. The record is from RNAcentral.